UCCUGAGUCAAUAAAGUAUGUUGA
This 24-nucleotide non-coding RNA is filed under the name Cricetulus griseus (Chinese hamster). The record is from RNAcentral. Lineage: Eukaryota; Metazoa; Chordata; Mammalia; Rodentia; Cricetidae.